RNAcentral lists this ribosomal RNA (309 nucleotides) under uncultured Anoxybacillus sp. RNAcentral's name for it is "bacterial SSU rRNA". It matches the Rfam family "Bacterial small subunit ribosomal RNA", at positions 1070 to 1382 of the family's 1533-position model. Lineage: Bacteria; Bacillati; Bacillota; Bacilli; Caryophanales; Anoxybacillaceae. The record is from RNAcentral.
AGAUGUGGUUAAGUCCCGCAACGAGCGCAACCCUCGACCUUAGUUGCCAGCAUUCAGUUGGGCACUCUAAGGUGACUGCCGGCUAAAAGUCGGAGGAAGGUGGGGAUGACGUCAAAUCAUCAUGCCCCUUAUGACCUGGGCUACACACGUGCUACAAUGGGCGGUACAAAGGGUCGCGAACCCGCGAGGGGGAGCCAAUCCCAAAAAGCCGCUCUCAGUUCGGAUUGCAGGCUGCAACUCGCCUGCAUGAAGCCGGAAUCGCUAGUAAUCGCGGAUCAGCAUGCCGCGGUGAAUACGUUCCCGGGCCUU